CAUGACUUGUGCUGAUAUUAUGUAAAAACAUUGUUUUCAGCAAGAGAACAAUUCAGCCUAGAUGAACCAGAAGAGAUACAGGACGUCAGUGGUGAGAGGAUUAAACCAUCAUGCAGGAAUGGCCUUCUGUCUGUAAGUUUUCCUGGGUCUGGAAUUUCUCAGAAACAGAGACAUGGCAUGUGGUCUUCUGAUGGAGUUUGUACAACAUGCUGAAAGAGAACAGGCUACUAAGAAAUGACAACCAAACAUGACAAAAUGAAAUACAAUACGAGGAAGCAAAACCUUCCACAUUGAAGUUGGACAUAGCAACUGAAAAGAAGGAGAAGAGUCCCAAGCACAGUUAUAUUUGCAGUGUGAUAACCAUACAUACUUGGAAUUAUCUGCACAACAGCAAUGAAGAGCAAAGUCAUCUGGUGUAGAGUCCAAAGUGGAUUCAGAAGAGAGUAAAAUUACAUUGGAAGUGAAAAUAUAGAUUAUGCCGGAGUGAUUUAAAAAAUUGCUACUAUAAACUUUUG
Long non-coding RNA from Mus caroli (Ryukyu mouse), 515 nucleotides. RefSeq lists it as uncharacterized. The record is from RefSeq and is a predicted model, not a curated record. Lineage: Eukaryota; Metazoa; Chordata; Mammalia; Rodentia; Muridae.